AUGAAAGAAACAAUCAUGAACCAGGAAAAACUCACCAAACUGCAGGCACAAGUGUGCAUUGGUGGGAAAGGAACUGCUCACAGAAAGAAGAAGGUGGUUCAUAGAACAGCCACAGCAGAUGAUUAAAAACUUCAGUUCUCCUUAAAGAAGUUAGGGGUAAACAAUAUCUCUGGUAUUGAAGAGGUGAAUAUGUUUACAAACCAAGGAACAGUGAUCCACUUUAACAACCCUAAAGUUCAGGCAUCUCUGGCAGCGAACACUUUCACCAUUACAGGCCAUGCUGAGACGAAGCAGCUGACAGAAAUGCUACCCAGCAUCUUAAACCAGCUUGGCGCAGAUAGUCUGACUAGUUUAAGGAGACUGGCCGAAGCUCUGCCCGAACAAUCUGUGGAUGGAAAAGCACCACUUGCUACUGGAGAGGAUGAUGAUGAUGAAGUUCCAGAUCUUGUGGAGAAUUUUGAUGAGGCUUCCAAGAAUGAGGCAAACUGAAUUGAGUCAACUUCUGAAGAUAAAACUUGAAGAAGUUACUGGGAGCUGCUAUUUUAUAUUAUGACUGCUUUUUAAGAAAUUUUUGUUUAUGGAUCUGAUAAAAUCUAGAUCUCUAA
Rhinopithecus roxellana (golden snub-nosed monkey) is the source of this 605-nucleotide RNA transcript. It is a transcript of the gene named transcription factor BTF3 pseudogene, with no coding region annotated. The transcript has a single exon. NCBI's taxonomy places the organism in Eukaryota, Metazoa, Chordata, Mammalia, Primates, Cercopithecidae. The record is from RefSeq and is a predicted model, not a curated record.